This 350-nucleotide ribosomal RNA is filed under the name uncultured bacterium. Its description in RNAcentral is "partial 16S ribosomal RNA". It matches the Rfam family "Bacterial small subunit ribosomal RNA", at positions 338 to 705 of the family's 1533-position model. The record is from RNAcentral.
CCUACGGGUGGCUGCAGUAGGGAAUUUUGCGCAAUGGGCGAAAGCCUGACGCAGCAACGCCGCGUGAUCGAGACGCCCUUCGGGGUGUAAAGAUCUGUCAGUGGGGACGAAACUUGACGGUACCCACAGAGGAAGCACCGGCUAACUCCGUGGCAGCAGCCGCGGUAAUACGGGGGGUGCAAGCGUUGUCCGGAAUCAUCGGGCGUAAAGAGUUCGUAGGCGGGCUGUAAAGUAUGGUGUUAAAGGAGGGGGUUGAACUUCUGUAUGGCAAGGGAUACUUGCAGUCUAGAGUGCGGUAGAGGUACGGGGAAUUCGUGGUGUAGCGGUGAAAUGCUUAGAUAUCAGGAAGA